UCUAUGUGGCCCCAAACCAACAGUAUAUGUCAGUGUGGAUGGAUGGUGACUUGCAAUUUACAGUAUAACCUUUGCAUAACACUUGUGUACUUGUGCACAGAAAAGUGCAGGACUUCUUAGACAGUAUGCCAUCUACAGCACCUUCAGAAAUAAAACAUGCGUGCAGGUCUUUUCAGGCAGCCUUUGGCACGAUCUGAAAAAGACGCCUGGUUUCCUUCUCAAUAGAGGAUCUGCUGUUACUAUUGUAAUCCAUCAUCCACUGCACAUGAUUACCAGCAUUAACUAGCUGAAUUGGCUGUGUUCGCCACUGACAGGAAAAGCCCACGACCUGUUGCUUUCAUUCUGGUCUCCUUGGCCUGAGCAACUAGUGAAAGCACUUCAGUCGCUCACAAAUACAUCUUGAAGAGCAAAUAUCAACAGGUCUUUUAAUAAAUGAAAGGCCAUGCAGCCUGAUAUUGCUUGUCAAAACUUGCUGUAAAGAAGAGUGAUGUACUGGAAGAAAAGAAAUGGAAAGAAUGAAGUAUUUUCAAAUAAUAUGGGCUGGUUAGUUCUGUAUAGUGCAUUUACAGGUAGAGGUUUGUGUUUAUACUAUGCUCAGUUAUAAAUAGGUGCAUGAGUGAUGAUGUGCACUGUAUCAUACAGCACAUAGCACCUGGAUGCUACUGACGCUGCAGCUGCUGCUCUGUACGAUGUUAUGUGUGCGUGCACUUGUGUCAGGACAUGUUGCCAUAGAAAUACUGUAACAGAGGGCCAAGUGCCACAAUUUUAUCUUUAUAACGUGGAAACUGGACGAAUCACCGUUUUUUUUAAUAUAAAAUAACCGAAAGCUGAACCUUAGUUUUCAGUCGUACAGGUACUUGUGGUGUUUGUGCAAUAUGUCUUAUUCUUUAGCUGGACCCUAAAACCUUCAUUUGUAAUCACUUCUAGCUAAUACUCUUAAAUUAAAUUUAGUUAAAAAAUGUAGAAAGUCUCCAAAUAUGGUCUCUCUCUCAAUGUUUCUCCUACUGUGUAACUAGCAAUUAGUUCAUCUUAUGCGUGUAGGAUUGAGAGAAAAGCUGAAAAGCUUUGCCAACAGAAGUGUACAGCUAAGCAACAGUUUCUCUGCUGGAUGCCAGACAAGAUACUUUAAUGUACAAUAGACUCCAAGUUCCUCGUCAAAACAACAGGGAUACACGUGAAUUUCGGUGUAGCCGAGAGGAAAUACAGUAAUAGUGCUAUAAAUAAAAACUUGGUGGUUUAAGUGAUUUGCAUAAUAAAUAAAAUGAGUUGGAUUGAGAAUCCAACAGAUUGGUAAUGCAUUUAAAAUUAAAGAGAAAAUGCUUACUGUAUAUUAUGUUAUAAAAGAUAUAUUGUUAAAUGUAAAGUUUGUGGUGUAAUUGUGUAAUGAUGUCGUAAAUGUGUUUACUUAUGUGGUUCAAGUCAAGUUCAACAGUAAAGGUUGAGUUUUAAGUUUGCUAAGAAAACGAUGCACUGCUUUUAUUUUGGGGAACGAAGAAGAAGGAGGACAACGAAAAAGACAAGAAGAAGACAAGGGCGCGAGAACGAGGCGGAGGCUAACGCUAGCAGCGCGCGGUAGGAACAACCCUGAUGCUAAGCACCUGGAACGCAGGUGAUAUAAGUGAGAGACUGUCGACAAGUGCAAAGAACUCGUGUACGUGGUAGCGGAGGCAAACUUCAGCACGAAGCCAGGCCCGUUUGUCAAAGUGACGAGGGGAAGUAGCAGCACGUGAGCUAACCCAGCUGGACAACCGUCUCUUCAGCUGUUCGGGGUUGGACACCAGCGACGUCGGCCGCAUGGGCCCAGCUGUCAUCCUGCUCUACGGCAGCGAGGUGGAUACAGCAUCGAGUAUCGCCAUCAUGGCUUCGCAUUGUAAAUGAAUGAUCAUUGAGGAGGCUGUCCACGCCUUCUGCAUGCUCGGGAAUGUGCUGCGAAGGAGACCUGCGGCGCUGAAACACUAGCGGGUCGAGGUGGACCACACGCAGGCGGAGCUACGUGGGGAAAGGCUCCGAUUUGAUCAGCUUUAUUAUUCUUGAUAAUGACCCUGGUUCAGUUCAAACCGCCUCUAACACAUUUGUUGCGGUUUGUUUUGCCUGUGGACGUCACACAGGCUGUCAAGGGUCAAGUGAUGCACCUCUGUUCUAGUCACUCCAUCCGCUGUCAGAGUAAACAUAUUUGUAAUUACAGCUUCCAAUCAUUUAUUUAUGUUGUGCAUCAGUGAUGUAGUCAAGCCCCGUGACGCAGAAGAGAAGUGAUCUAUCAGAUGACAUCAGAUACUCCAGGAUUAUGAAUAAUCAUAGUACAGAAGACGGUAGGCGGUCGUAAACAUGAAUCUGCUGCAACAAAGUAGAGGCUUCGUGCAAGAGAAAUAUAACUGAUAAUGUUGAAUUAUGGCAAGUGGGCUGACACCAAUAUCAUCCAGGAGUCCAGGUGGUAAAUUGGACUGUGGCAACCAGAGCCCGCUACGCUUUAAGCACUGUAAACAAAUGCAUUUAGUCCAGUUAAACCUUUACAUAAAUGGAAUUUGGAGAACUCUUAGUGGAGUACAGUAUUACAGACAAUAAAAUUAUUUUAGUUCACAGUGAAUACGCAAGUAGACCCUCCAUCUCAGAUGAAGACGCUUUCACACUCUUCACAUCUGACUUGUCCUUCUGUAACUGUCUGCCACUCCUCAUCUAUAUCUCGUCUCAUGUCUGGAGCAGAAUGAAUCCAUAAGGGAUUAUUAUUAUUAUUAUUAUUAUGGCCUCUUGUGGCUGCUUGUGAUUUGUCCACUAGCUGUGGGUCAGGUAAUGGUUAUAAUGUACACUGCAAAGGCUGGAAGGGCACAAGGUGAUUUUACUGUGUGUGACAUCAAAUUAUGCCGUCGCCGUGGAAACAAUAAUUCUGUUUGAAUACCUUCUCACUCACGGUACACUCAAUCUAUGUUCUGCCUGACUCCAUGACAAUUAUUGACAAUUAAGGAAGGGACAUGGGUUCAAAGGUGAGCUAACGUGAGACACCGGGGCUUUUACUUGGUCUUAUAGGAGAGUGUUCCUUUAAUUUUAAUCCAACCCAGUUUACACCGACUCAAAAUGUCGUCUGUGUUCAUCUGCUGUCUUUUCAACAGUAAUUACAUCAAUACAACAACAGAGUCGUGUCACUCUCAGUUUCUCUGUAAUGGAAAGGCUGUUUUCACUCACCCCUUAAUUCCAGUUCAUUCACUGUACCGUUUGCCCUGAUUGAUGCUAAUCUAGCAUUAUUGCAACUUAACAAUGCACCAGAUUGUUCACUUUAUAAUUAUCCUCUCCCCACCAUUGUGGCUUGGCUUUUAAUGUGAACACUCCACAAGAGAUGUUGACUUUAGCAGAUGACAGCUUAAUACAGGCCGAAUUGAAAAACGAGAGAAUGUUAUUUGUGUUUUUCAAGCAAAGUGAUGACUCUGACCUGACUAGGUUUUAUACAGUAUUUUUGGGAAUAAUGCUUUAGAAAUGUGCUGUAGAACUUGGAUAUAUUAUGCAUAGAAGCUUCUCGUGUUUUAGGUCCUCCAACCUUUUCUUAAUGGUUUUCUGAUAUUAUUAUUGUUUAUAAAUAUUACAGUACGAUGAUCAAAUCAUCCAAUUGUUCCUCAUUUUUACUGUAGUUACGUCAGAACUUUCCCAAGAAGUUGAAACAUUCCUUUUAAGAUGUAACAUGUGGGCUAAUUCUGUACAGUCACGCUGUUGGGAAAUGAAUAUGAGAGUGGAGAAAUGCGAAGCUGUGUAUCAAGUGGAGAUAAUCAAAUCCAUCGUGCCAAAUGAGUCAUGUAACGUGGAAAGGUACACUGGAUAAACACGGCGCCAGCUACCCGGCUUCGCCGGUGCCUGGAUGAGCUCGGUUACAUCAUGUUACACAUGGAAAGACACGGGAGAUGAGGAAAUCAAACUCGGGCACUUGAGGCAGAUUUCGCACUGCGGGCGUCCAAUCAAAGAGAAAGGAGAAUCUUGAUGGGUUUUUAAAAAGUCUCAGACACAUUUUGGCAACACUUUAAAGAGUUUUGUGGCCGGUUUGACUUUAAUAACUUUAUUAGGACACGCUAAGACGGACGAUUUGAUUGACAGGACUAUAAAGCCACAUUUUGUCUGAAUAAGCCAGUGGAAGUGCAGCUGUGGAUAACAUCAAAUUCAGCUAGAUGGGGUUUUGUGCAGGGCAGCCGUCUAAUACUCUCUAGUUCAAAAUGAAAUCCAUAUUCAAAGGGUAAAAUCUCCUAAAGCUAAACAGACACCAUACGUUUGCUUUUAAUGCGCCGCAUUAUAUGUUCCACCCACCAUUUAUCUUUGUAAAAAUACUUGACUUUGACAUAAUAAUUAUGGUGUUGUCAUGCAACAUGCUUGGAAUUAUUCUGUUAUAAUAUAAUGUAAUUAUCCCUGUAACUGUCUUGCAGUGAUAUAAGUGUCCACUGCAAACAAUAUCAUAAUCAUAUAGCGAAUAUGAUAAGAUCUCUUUUUAUUUGUUGCUG
This is a long non-coding RNA of Betta splendens (Siamese fighting fish), 4472 nucleotides long. RefSeq lists it as uncharacterized. The transcript is spliced from 3 exons. The record is from RefSeq and is a predicted model, not a curated record. Lineage: Eukaryota; Metazoa; Chordata; Actinopteri; Anabantiformes; Osphronemidae.